RNAcentral lists this ribosomal RNA (253 nucleotides) under uncultured bacterium. RNAcentral describes it as "partial 16S ribosomal RNA". It matches the Rfam family "Bacterial small subunit ribosomal RNA", at positions 524 to 776 of the family's 1533-position model. The record is from RNAcentral.
UACGUAGGGUGCGAGCGUUAAUCGGAAUUACUGGGCGUAAAGCGUGCGCAGGCGGUCUGUUAAGACCGAUGUGAAAUCCCCGGGCUUAACCUGGGAAUGGCAUUGGUGACUGCACGGCUAGAGUGUGUCAGAGGGGGGUAGAAUUCCACGUGUAGCAGUGAAAUGCGUAGAGAUGUGGAGGAAUACCGAUGGCGAAGGCAGCCCCCUGGGAUAACACUGACGCUCAUGCACGAAAGCGUGGGGAGCAAACAGG